Molecule: ribosomal RNA, 149 nt
Filed under: uncultured eukaryote
Lineage: Eukaryota
Description: partial small subunit ribosomal RNA
Rfam family: Eukaryotic small subunit ribosomal RNA
Source: RNAcentral
UUAGUUGGUGGAGUGAUUUGUCUGGUUAAUUCCGUUAACGAACGAGACCUCGACCUGCUAAAUAGUCAACAUCAUCUUUUGAUGGUGCUAUUGACUUCUUAGAGGGACUAUCGGUGUGUAGCCGAUGGAAGUUCGAGGCAAUAACAGGU